UGGGGGCUAGCUCAGUGGUAGAGUGCAUGCUUAGCAUGCAUGAGGUCCUGGAUUCAAUCCCCAUCCCUCCAC
This 72-nucleotide transfer RNA is filed under the name Camelus bactrianus (Bactrian camel). It matches the Rfam family "tRNA". From Rfam's summary of the family: Transfer RNA (tRNA) molecules are approximately 80 nucleotides in length. RNAcentral also lists the same sequence under 2 other names. Lineage: Eukaryota; Metazoa; Chordata; Mammalia; Artiodactyla; Camelidae. The record is from Rfam by way of RNAcentral.